CAACCUUGCGAUUGUUAUGUUAUUCAUAGAAAACAUCUAUGGCGGCUGGUUGUAUGUAAAUCUGUAAAUUUCGGCGAGAUAUUUAUUGUACUGUCUUACUUUGAAUCACAUUUCAUCAACCUAGAGUGAAAAUGAACAGAUCAUUCCGUGCAGAAACGAGAAGCAGAACCAAAGAUGAUGUCAAGCGUCUCAUGCACACCGUUGACAAAGUGCGAAAAUGGGAGAAGAAAUGGGUGGCAGUUAGUGACACUACCAUGAGGAUAUAUAAAUGGGUUCCUGUGUCCAUUGAGAAGAGGAAAAAGAAGUCCCUAGCCAACAAGGAAAAUCAGAGCACCAAGAAUAUUGAAACACCCAGUCCAUCGUUUUUGGGAGAGGAUUCAAACACAGGAUUUUCGGUGACAUCCGACUCGAUGGACACAGACUUCCAGCAGAUAAACUUCUCGGAGGAUUCCAACUCUCAGUCGAUGCCCGCGCCGGGUGGAGGAAAGCGGCCAUAGCGUGCCGCUCCAUCCCUACAACCGGUCAGCCAGCGGAGACUCUUACCGUACCAGUGACGGCCUCACGGCCGGGCUCUUAGCACCCGACCAACGUCCGGAUCAUGACGGCAUGGAAAUUGCAGCUGUUUUAUGCAGUCGCUACGUCGUUUUAUGGCGCGCUUGGCAUCGAUGAAGCAGCCCGCAUAGGGAAACGGAAGGUUGUCAGUGCAGCGAUCAUGUCAUCCCAUCGAGUGUUUGUGAAUGGCGCUAGGCUGCAGGUGCGUGUUUUACGCUGAUGACGGCCAUUUGAUCUGUUCCCGAUCUCAUCUGUCUGUCCCCUGUCUGGUCGGUUCAAGCCAGCCUGGAUUUGCUUCAGGGCUCGGUUAGUGUCAUCACAGAACGGCGACCAUCGAUUCCCUCACACAGUGCUCUCACGUCAUCUGUGUUUUAUGGUAACGGUCCUGGAUGCUCGCGAACGUCUUUUGAACGAGCACAGUCAUGUCAUAAAAUACAUCAAACGUUCAAAA
RNAcentral lists this long non-coding RNA (1003 nucleotides) under Amphibalanus amphitrite. RNAcentral describes it as "uncharacterized LOC122388520". Lineage: Eukaryota; Metazoa; Arthropoda; Thecostraca; Balanomorpha; Balanidae. The record is from RNAcentral.